GACGAACGCUGGCGGCGUGCUUAACACAUGCAAGUCGAGCGGUAAGGCCCUUUCGGGGGUACACGAGCGGCGAACGGGUGAGUAACACGUGGGUGACCUGCCCUCAGCUCUGGGAUAAGCCUGGGAAACCGGGUCUAAUACCGGAUAUGACUCCAUGACGCAUGUUGUGGGGUGGAAAGCCUUGUGCGGCUGAGGAUGGGCCCGCGGCCUAUCAGCUUGUUGGUGGGGUGANGGCCUACCAAGGCGACGACGGGUAGCCGGCCUGAGAGGGCGACCGGCCACACUGGGACUGAGACACGGCCAGACUCCUACGGGAGGCAGCAGUGGGGAAUCUUGCGCAAUGGGCGAAAGCCUGACGCAGCGACGCCGCGUGAGGGAUGACGGCCU
RNAcentral lists this ribosomal RNA (387 nucleotides) under uncultured bacterium. RNAcentral describes it as "bacterial SSU rRNA". It matches the Rfam family "Bacterial small subunit ribosomal RNA", at positions 28 to 417 of the family's 1533-position model. The record is from RNAcentral.